Molecule: ribosomal RNA, 253 nt
Filed under: uncultured bacterium
Lineage: Bacteria
Description: partial 16S ribosomal RNA
Rfam family: Bacterial small subunit ribosomal RNA
Source: RNAcentral
UACGUAGGGGGCUAGCGUUGUCCGGAAUCAUUGGGCGUAAAGCGCGUGUAGGCGGCCCGGUAAGUCCGCUGUGAAAGUCGGGGGCUCAACCCUCGGAUGCCGGUGGAUACUGUCGGGCUCGAGUGCGGAAGAGGCGAGUGGAAUUCCUGGUGUAGCGGUGAAAUGCGCAGAUAUCAGGAGGAACACCAAUUGCGAAGGCAGCUCGCUGGGACGGUACUGGCGCUGAGACGCGAAAGCGUGGGGAGCGAACAGG